CCUACGGGAGGCUGCAGUGGGGAAUAUUGCGCAAUGGGCGAAAGCCUGACGCAGCGACGCCGCGUGAGGGAUGAAGGUCUUCGGAUCGUAAACCUCUGUCAGCAGGGAAGAACGGGCACUGUGCUAAUCAGCAGUGAAUUGACGGUACCUGCAAAGGAAGCACCGGCUAACUCCGUGCCAGCAGCCGCGGUAAUACGGAGGGUGCGAGCGUUAAUCGGAAUUACUGGGCGUAAAGCGGUCGCAGGCGGUAGGUCAAGUCAAGGGUGAAAUCCCCGCGCUCAACGUGGGAACUGCCGUUGAAACUGGCGAGCUGGAGUGUGUGAGAGGAUAGUGGAAUUCCAGGUGUAGGGGUGAAAUGCGUAGAGAUCUGGAGGAACAUCGGUGGCGAAGGCGACUAUCUGGCACAUAACUGACGCUGAGGAGCGAAAGCGUGGGUAGCAAACAGGAUUAGAUACCCUUGUAGUC
This 465-nucleotide ribosomal RNA is filed under the name uncultured bacterium. RNAcentral describes it as "partial 16S ribosomal RNA". It matches the Rfam family "Bacterial small subunit ribosomal RNA", at positions 338 to 795 of the family's 1533-position model. The record is from RNAcentral.